This is a non-coding RNA of Parasteatoda tepidariorum (common house spider), 121 nucleotides long. NCBI's taxonomy places the organism in Eukaryota, Metazoa, Arthropoda, Arachnida, Araneae, Theridiidae. The record is from RefSeq and is a predicted model, not a curated record.
GAGUGGGGAAGAUGAAGAAAUGUUUGUUUAUUUUGAUUGUUAAAAAGUGUCCGGGAAAUUGACCCUUCCGGAAAAGGGACGUCCGGAUAUGGGACGUUACACUGUAUUAUGAUUCUUAUUU